Molecule: ribosomal RNA, 414 nt
Filed under: uncultured microorganism
Description: bacterial SSU rRNA
Rfam family: Archaeal small subunit ribosomal RNA
Source: RNAcentral
GCGCAGCAGGCGCGAAUCCUUCGCAAUGCGGGAAACCGCGACGAGGGGACUCCCAGUGCCUACGCUCAGCGUAGGCUGUUCCCGAGCCUAGAAAGCUCGGGGAGUAGGGGCUGGGUAAGACGGGUGCCAGCCGCCGCGGUAAUACCCGCAGCCCGAGUGGUGGCCACUAUUAUUGGGCCUAAAGCGUCCGUAGCCGGCCCGGUAAAUGCCUGGGUAAAUCGUGAGGCCUAACCUCACGAAUUCCGGGUAGACUGCCGGGCUAGGGACCGGAGGAGGGAGAGGGGUACUCCAGGGGUAGGGGUGAAAUCCUGUAAUCCCUGGAGGACCACCGGUGGCGAAGGCGCUCUCCUAGGACGGGUCCGACGGUGAGGGACGAAAGCCAGGGGAGCGAACCGGAUUAGAUACCCGCGUAGU